RNAcentral lists this ribosomal RNA (253 nucleotides) under uncultured bacterium. RNAcentral describes it as "partial 16S ribosomal RNA". It matches the Rfam family "Bacterial small subunit ribosomal RNA", at positions 524 to 776 of the family's 1533-position model. The record is from RNAcentral.
UACGUAGGGGGCUAGCGUUGUCCGGAUUUAUUGGGCGUAAAGAGCGUGUAGGCGGCUUUGCAAGUCCGUUGUGAAAACUCGAGGCUCAACCUCGAGACGCCGGUGGAAACUGCAAAGCUAGAGUCCGGAAGAGGAGAGUGGAAUUCCUGGUGUAGCGGUGAAAUGCGCAGAUAUCAGGAAGAACACCCGUGGCGAAGGCGGCUCUCUGGGACGGUACUGACGCUGAGACGCGAAAGCGUGGGGAGCGAACAGG